AUUGAACGCUGGCGGCAUGCCUUACACAUGCAAGUCGAACGGCAGCACGGGAGCAAUCCUGGUGGCGAGUGGCGAACGGGUGAGUAAUAUAUCGGAACGUGCCCAGUCGUGGGGGAUAACGUAGCGAAAGCUACGCUAAUACCGCAUACGAUCUAUGGAUGAAAGCGGGGGAUCGCAAGACCUCGCGCGAUUGGAGCGGCCGAUAUCAGAUUAGGUAGUUGGUGAGGUAAAGGCUCACCAAGCCGACGAUCUGUAGCUGGUCUGAGAGGACGACCGAGCCACACUGGGACUGAGACACGGCCCAGACUCCUACGGGAGGCAGCAGUGGGGAAUUUUGGACAAUGGCGCAAGCCUGAUCCAGCAAUGCCGCGUGCAGGAUGAAGGCC
This 386-nucleotide ribosomal RNA is filed under the name uncultured bacterium. RNAcentral describes it as "bacterial SSU rRNA". It matches the Rfam family "Bacterial small subunit ribosomal RNA", at positions 30 to 416 of the family's 1533-position model. The record is from RNAcentral.